This 1614-nucleotide long non-coding RNA is filed under the name Sinocyclocheilus grahami. RNAcentral's name for it is "lncRNA (ENSSGRG00000054499.1)". Lineage: Eukaryota; Metazoa; Chordata; Actinopteri; Cypriniformes; Cyprinidae. The record is from RNAcentral.
CAUCUGAUAGUGAUUUUUUGAUUUGUUUUUGAGAACUUGGGUUGCAUUAUUAAUUUUUUGACAAAAGAACACUUUGAAAACUUCUGUGUUUCUGCCUCAUUUCUAUUCUUCUGAAUCCAAUUGUGCAGAUCUUUCCCUGGAGAUUUACAUGCACACAAACUUGCCAUCCUAAAAUCAACAGCACACUGAUGUUUUUAUUCAAGCAGCAUACUGUCUGUAUGCUUCCUACAGAGGGUUAACGCGCCCGCUGAACCGGAUGUGAUUCUUUCUCCGUCUCACUGUUGUGUUGUCGUUGCACGGCCAAUGGCGGACGGUGCCUGAACAUUUAUCUGAAAAACGUACGUUUCGCUCAAAUAUACUUGAACAUCGAUCGGCCAUUUAAAGCUUUUCGAUCGCACGUGUGUUUUGGCCCGUCAGCAUGGAUGUGAAUUUGACCAUCUCUCUGAUGCGGGGCCAGAUGGGCGCUGUUAUCGAGAACGCCGUGAACGUCGCGGUGGAGACCGUGCUAGGAGAGAUGAUCCGGGUGGUCGGGCUCAAAUUUGAGGAGAUCAAACGGGAGAUGACAGCUAAAGAGAAGGAGAACGAGAACAUCAGGAGGAUGUUGGAGACGUCCCGCUGUCAGAUGAAAACCAUGCGCAAGUACAUCAGCGUCCUGUCUGCUAAAGAGCCCAACCACAGACAGUAUCAGGGAGAUGGAGACAUGGCAGCAACAUCCACAGGGAUGCACUGCAGAAGAGGGCCGAUGAGCAAUCCCCCAAAGCCCUGUCCCUGUCCCAGACCUAGAGUCUCUGAGCCAGCCCCUGUAACGUUCGCUGGACCCUCAUGGGUGAGACAGCAGAUGCACAUGUCCAAAGAAACAUUGAGACGUGAGCAUCACAUUCCUGAGGUCAACAUUGAAGAGACACAUGGAUCAACAGUUCAUAAAGUUGAGAACUCAAGCUCUCAUCUGGUGGACAGUCAGGCGCUUCUGUCUGAGACCAUUGAUCCAAUCUGGGGUCAGGACCCUCUCGCCUCUGCAGAGACUGGACACACAGACAUGCUGGACAGCAGCGUCCUCUCUGCACCCAUGAUGGCAGAUGAAAAUGUGUCAUCCCAAACGACAAGCACAUUGACCUUUGGAGCACCGUCACUUAAAAUCAAACAGGAGGAGGCGGAGGUUGAAAUAGUCUGUGUGAAAGAUGAACCCACAGAAGCUGGAAGCAUACAUACAUUUGAAUAUUCCAACGCUGAACUUCACCAGCCAGCGGAAGAACCAGAGCUCGGGGUCUCACUAGAUCUACAUGCAUCAUUUCAAGCUCUUCAGAGUCCAAGCACUUCAGCAGACCUUGCAAUCCCAGCAUUCAUCAGUGUGGACCCAACUACCUCUAUGUCGGACGCAAGUCCAGAGAGUUUUGAAAAUAAUCAAUGUACAGGUAAGUUUGAUAAUUUUAUCAUAGACAAUUAAACUCAUAUAUUUUUAAAUAAUUACCAUUUUACAAAUGGCAGUUUCCAGCUAAAUCACCUGUGGUAUUGCAGCUGUAGAGAGGGCUAUUCUUGAGUCACAGGGAGAAAUGAACUGGAAAAUCAAUCACCUGACUGCACUGGUUCAGUGCCUUGUAGGGAACAAGCACUGUA